This 67-nucleotide transfer RNA is filed under the name Sepiadarium kochi. Its description in RNAcentral is "tRNA-Asn". The record is from RNAcentral. Lineage: Eukaryota; Metazoa; Mollusca; Cephalopoda; Sepiida; Sepiadariidae.
CUGUGAAAAGCCAAAUAGAGGCAUUUAACUGUUAAUUAAAAAAUUGUAAUUUUUAUUACUUCACUGG